UGCUCAUAUUUAAUAUUCAAAGAUCAUUUUUCGGAGGCGAUAUUUUAUUAUUUCUU
This 56-nucleotide transfer RNA is filed under the name Bigelowiella natans. RNAcentral describes it as "partial tRNA". The record is from RNAcentral. Lineage: Eukaryota; Cercozoa; Chlorarachniophyceae.